AUACGGAGGGUGCAAGCGUUACUCGGAAUCACUUGGCGUAAAGCGCGCGCAGGCGGCUAUUUAAGUUGGAUGUGAAAGCCUACGGCUCAACCGUAGAACUGCAUCCAAAACUAUUUAGCUAGAGUGUGGGAGAGGAAGAUGGAAUUAGUUGUGUAGGGGUAAAAUCCGUAGAGAUAACUAGGAAUACCAAAAGCGAAGGCAAUCUUCUGGAACACUACUGACGCUGAGGCGCGAAAGCGUGGGGAGCAAACGGGAUUAGAAACCCUUGUAGUCC
RNAcentral lists this ribosomal RNA (274 nucleotides) under uncultured bacterium. Its description in RNAcentral is "partial 16S ribosomal RNA". It matches the Rfam family "Bacterial small subunit ribosomal RNA", at positions 523 to 796 of the family's 1533-position model. The record is from RNAcentral.